RNAcentral lists this ribosomal RNA (408 nucleotides) under uncultured bacterium. RNAcentral's name for it is "partial 16S ribosomal RNA". It matches the Rfam family "Bacterial small subunit ribosomal RNA", at positions 28 to 526 of the family's 1533-position model. The record is from RNAcentral.
GACGAACGCUGGCGGCGUGCUUAACACAUGCAAGUCGAACGAAGUGGCGAACGGGUGAGUAACGCGUAAUCAACCUGCCCUUCCGAGGGGGACACCAGUUGGAAACGACUGCUAAUACCGCAUACUGAAGGAGGGGAUUGCGUCUGAUUAGCUAGUUGGGGGGGUAACGGCCCACCAAGGCGAUGAUCAGUAGGCGGUCUGAGAGGAUGAACGGCCACAAUGGGACUGGGAAACGGCCCAGGCUCCUACGGGGGGCAGCAGGGGGGAAACUUCCGCAAUGGAGGAAAGUCUGACGGAGCAACGCCGCGGGGGUGAUGACGGCCUUCGGGUUGUAAAGCUCUGUUAAUCGGGACGCGGUACCGGAAGAGAAAGCCACGGCUAACUACGUGCCAGCAGCCGCGGUAAUAC